CAAGGAGGGGACGGGCCGAGAUGGUGGAGGAGAGAGCAGGAAAACGUGGGGGAGGUGCUGGCGAGAGAAAGAGAACUAGCGUGAGGAGGAGGAGGAGGAGAAACCAAAUAUAAUAUUUGGCGUGGAAAUGGGAUUUGGGGUUUUUUCCCUGGCAUCUUCAAAUCAUGAAAAGUGCAAUUAAUCAACAUUUCCCCCCCGCCCCUCGACAAGUGAGGACUGCUUUCUCCCUGGGUAAGUGAAGAGAAUUGAAGCAGGUAAGAGGCUAAGCUGACUUUGCAGAAGCCCCCAAAGAAGAGCACCCUUUGGAAUUAACCACCCUUUAGGUAAUUCAGUCUUGAACGGAAAUCGCAAGUCAGGAGCUGGGUUGAGUGCUUCUCAGUCGGGCAUUCAAAGCCCUCCAAAUCUGGCCCCACUUUAGUUAUCCAAUCAUAGCUGCCUCCAUCCCCCUGCAAGAACUCCCAGCUCCAAUCAGUGAAGUCUCCAUGCCAUUCUCAACGCGCAGCAGAUUCAUUCUUCCUUCGUGCCUUUGCUCAUGCUGUUCCCCUCACCUCCCCACCCCACCCCCUUUCCAGGAAUGCCCUCCCUCCCUCCUCUAUACCUCUCUCAAGCCAACCCAGGCUCUAAGGCACAGCUCAAGUCGCGGCUUGUCAGGGUCCCUGGCAGCCAAGGCCCCUGCCUGCCUCUGAGAGAAAGGCGUGCAGUUCUCGCAACAUGGAGGCUCAGGCUCCGGCCAGAAGCACCUUCCUUUGAAGCCCGUUGAACCCUUGGACGCACUCUGCGCCCUUCUGCCCAUUCAUACUUAGGAGACAGUUGGGGCCAGUAAGAAUAAGAGUCUGCUAGGAACAAGCAAGUCCCCUUUAAGAGCAGAAGAAUUGGCUUUUCUAGGUGGGGCUGAUCAGGGAGGCCUAAACUGCUAGGCCGAAGAAGACAACAGCCAAGGCCAGAUCUGGCACCAGAUGGAACAGCUGCUCAACUCACACUGACCUUUCUCUGGGCCUGUGGGUGUUUUGAGCUCCUCGGCUUUGACUUUUCUGACAGUUUCUAUCAGGUUUCUACCUAUCAGGUUCUCUGGCCACUUUCCUGCUGUGCUUGGACUUUGGGCCAUGAGGCUCUGCCACCUUUUAGAGUCCUGGGUGGGGAAUCUGAUUGGCUUGGGCUUCCUGGCUUUGCAGUGCUCUGUGCACUGCCUUGCCCUAGAACUCUCUUGCUUUUGCACCAGGGUGCACUCAGGCCUGGCUCCCAGAUUCACCCUGAAUACUCACAGUUGCAGAUGGCUGGGUGUGAAGAAAUGGGAGGGAGGAAGGGCACCUGGGUACAAAACACAGCUCCUCCAUGAGGAUUUCAGGCAUCCUGAUACCCUUUGCACUACUGCUUAAUGCAAAUUACCCAAGGUUAUUAUUAACCUAGCCACUUUGGGAAAAUACAGGUUGUUUAUGACUUCAUUUUGCACAUGUACCUUUGUGUCCUAUCUAAAGAAUAUUUUUCUGUACCAGAUUGAUAGACAUGGUGUGUACUAGACAGGAACUUUGAAGAAGAAUAAAAAUAGCUAAUGUUUGUUGAGCACAUUCAGCAUGCCAGAUCUAGCACUCUCUAUACAUUAUCAUAGUUAUUCCUUCCCAAACUAUAUAUACUGUAGGUGCUAUUAUUCACCUAUUAUGCAGAUGAAACAGAAGCUUAGAGAGGUUAAAUAACAUUCUUAAAUUUAUCCAAUAAUGAGGGAGCCAGGAGUUUGAUCCUGGAAGUCUAAUUCCGCAAUCUGCAACCCUUGCUGGAAAUGAUGUAAUACUGAAAAAUCUUGAAUGUAUAUGUGAACUCUAUGUCAAUGGGGAAGAUGGAGGAAGAAAAAAAAAAAAAAAGCAUUCAGGAAAGUUGCCACGUCCCCCAGAUUCUCAUUUUUUACUCAGUCAGGAGAGAACGAUGGCUUCACCUUGCCACACCCUGGGAGGGGGAGAUCUUAGGAGUGGGAGAUUUCAUUCAAGAAAGAUAAUGUCUCUGAGGCCUGCCAAAGGUCCUAGGAAAAGGAAGCUGAGAAACAAGACUUUCUUUUAAAGUAUGCUGCUGGGUGUCACACAGGCAGGCUUCCCUGAGUACAACUUUCGAGAGCUUUUUUAUCUGUUCCAUGAAAGAGCCAUGUUACCCCAGUUGCCACUAGAGGGGUCAGCAGAGCUGCAACCCUGAGCUGCCCUGUGGUGCUGUUGAGAGGGCAUCGUUGAGCCUUUGGGGCCUUCAGGGACCAAUAGGAAGUUAGAGGAGACAUCUGGGACUCUUGGGUUCAACCAGCAGUGAAAGGGGUGGUGGAGAGUAUCAGACUGAAGAGACCUGAUUGUCAGAAUGAGACAUCUUUGCAGGGAUCAGCCCCACUUGUCCCUCAACAUCUGGGAGUAGAGUGUGUUUUAUUGCUGUCUUCAGAGAGGACUAUAAACAAAAUAAGCUUAGGUUUAGAAACCUAAAAGAAACCUCAUAAAAUUACCCAAAGUCUUGAGUAGGGACUCACACCAAAUCCAGGCACCCUGAGUAAAGGUAGCAGUUGUAGCCAUGUGCUUCUGAAAUUGUGUGAAUUCCCCUGUGGUCAUGAAACCCUGUGCUAAGGUCCUGAAGCACCCAGAAACAAUGUGGCUCAUUUUCUUAGACCUUCAGUUUGACUCAGAAGUAAUGGAAAACAUUAGAGUAAGCACGGAUUUUUAAGAUAACACUAGAUUUUGAGCUUCUGUUUCCCAACCCUGAGGAGUUUAAGUCUAUUCUCCCUGUGAAAGUGUACUCCAGUGGAAAAUUUUGAGAAACAUUGUUGUAGUAGGAUAGAAAGACUCUGGUUGUUGAGUCAAGAGACCUGGGAAUUCAAACCUUCUGUGUCCGUCUCUAUAAAAAUGAAAAUAGUGGCCUACUUCACAGGGUUGUUAUGAGGAACAGCAUGUAAAUUGAUAUAUAAACCAUGGAAGUGCUGUACACAAAGAAAGAGAGACAAUCCACAAGGUGGACUGUUAGCACCUCAAAGGUAGUGGCUGUGUUUUAUUUAUCCUGGUAGUCCUGGGAUACAAUACUUAACUCCUAGGUAUUGAGUAAAUAUUUGUUGAAUGCAGGAGGUACUUAGCCUUGAUUUUCUUAACCCAAUGCAUUAUACCAUCAUGUUCUUCUAUAUCUGUAAACCUUGUCUCUUUUUGUAAACUUUUCAUACUGUCCAGACUAUAGCAUAUACAUUUAUCAUAUAUUUGUCAUGCCUGAUACGUAAUAGGAUUGGCCCCCCAAAUGUAAAUACAUACAUACAUACAUUCAUGUGUAAGAACCUGGUCCCAACUUGAAAUAGUUUACAUUCUUUGGAGCAGAGAGACAUAAUAACAUAUAUUGAUUGUGCAAGGUGAUGAGUUCUACAAUAGAAUCAUGUCUACUAAUGUGACGGAGACAUAGUGGAGGGAGGUAUUGGACUUGUUUAGGGUAAAACAGCUGUUUAGAGAAGGCCUCCUGGCUAGCAUUUGAAUUGAGUCUCACUGGAUGAAGAGAAGUUCAGUAGGAGAGCACUGAGAGAGGAGGAUUUUAGCAUAAGCACUGGUAUGAAGCCAUGACAGAGCACAUGGGAUGAGUGAAUAAUGCAUAGCCCGGUGUUAGCUCGGUGCUCAGAUCCUUGAUGGAGUGUAUAGGGGAGGGAAAGGAAGGAGAGGGGGACACAAGCCCAUUUUACAAGACGUUACUCUGUGUGAUUAGUUAUGAUUGUUCGGACAAAAGAUGAGGCCUAAAAUGGGUUUCAUCAAUAGUAAAUCAUCGUUAAGUGCCUAAGGUAUACAUUUCAUUUCCGCAAAUAUGGUGGUUUACAAAUACGGAAAAGAUAACUUUGGACCCUAUUCUGUUUUCCUUCCCUUAAAAAUGAAAAGUAUCUACUCAUCCUCUUUUCCCUUCAUUCCCUCCUCUGCCUCUUCCAUUGCAAACUUUUCCUCCUAGGAGUUGAAAGUAGAGUGUGUAAUCACCCACAUGUUAUUAUUUAUGGGGAUAAGGAAGGAAGGCUUUCUACCUCCGAAAACUUUGUAUCAGAAAGUGAUGGAUCACCUAUUUGGGCUAGGCUGCUGUCUUUCAAAAUGCAUACAGUCUUAGAGGAGCUGAUGUAUUCAGUUCCAGUGCUGUAAUGUUAUUGAGUUUUCAGUCUUAAUAGGAUUAGAAGAAGCGAGGUGGUGGUAGGGGAAAGAGGACAAGAAAAAAAGCAAGAUUAUAGAAGAGGUAAGUUGGAGGGUUCAAAACCAAGUACACAUUGGCAAAUUUGAAUAAGUUUUCUCCAUGCCAUACUUACUAAUGUAUGAUGUGAAAAUUGGAAUUCUCUUGUUAGAGCACAAAUUUUCCUUUAUAUCAUUAAAACAAUGGUUUGUUAAGGCAAAGUAGCUAACUAUUCAAAUACCAGGCAAGGCAGUAGGAUGUUAACACUGUCUUUAUCUGGCUCUGUGACCCUAUCUACAGGAGCCAUUCUUUCAGGUUAUUUCUAAGGAUUAAUGGGAUAAAAGCUCUCAAAGUGUACUUGCCUCUUCAAGUGAAAGGUACUAUGAAAAUGAAUGCCAGGUACCGUUUGGAUUUCACUUAGAAAUUCUCCACUGUUGUUACCAUAUACAUGUUUAUGUUGUGAACCUGCAAUUCUCUUUAUAUUAAAAAAGGUUCAAGUUAAUAUCAUCUGGCUGAAUGUUAAAGGAAGUGUUUGCUCUUACUUGGGGCUAGAAAGGUCCCAAGUAGAAAUUUGAGAUCUUGAAAAUUCAGCCUACCAGCAGCUGUGAACAAAAGGGAGUAAAGAAAAAGCAUAUUUAACAAAUCCUAAAAGUGACAAUGAGAAGACACUAAAGCCAGCCCUACAAUGAGAAGGUCAACACCAGUGCUGUCUGGACUGGUGGAGCCUAAUCAGUGAUCCACAAACUCUCUCAUUCCUCAAUUCAUUUAAAUACUUUUAUUAUUAUUAUAACGGGACAUCAGAAAGAUUUAAAAAUAAAUGGUAAAUAAAAUAUUGUUUGAAUCUUCAAGAAGUUCAUCAUUUAAGACUAGAACUCUCAGUGCACACAUAUUUUUUAAAGUGCAGUAAACAUACAUGGGACCAUAAAUAAAUAAAUAAAUAAAUAAAUAAAUAAAGGUGUGUAACAGGAUAACUGAUUGGACUAUUAAUUUGGUUUAUGUUCUUAUAUUUUCCCCUUUCCUCCAUUCCAAACAGGCUUUAGGAAAGUGUUGUGUUCCUCUGUGAUAGGAACAAUUCACAUUGAAAAUGAAGCCUCCUGGGCCACAAGACCUUAGAAUGAAGUGUCAGUGUUAUCCCCGGAAUUGUGCCUUCCAGUCUGCUUUCCAGAUUUUAUUUAUUUGUCGGAGAGAGCAGAAGCAUGGAGAGCUACAGGCAGAACAUGCAAAACAGGCAGAGGGAAAAGCAGGCUCCCUGCUGAGCAAGGAGCCCUAUGUGAAACUCAGUCCGAGGACCCCGGGAUCAUGAUCUGAGAGGAAGGCAGAUACUUAACCAACUGAGCCACCCAGCCGUCCCUGACUUGUUUCAAUUAGGAUAAUGCCUUCAAGGUCAUCCAUAUGUUGCAAAUGGAUUCUCUCAAUGGUGUCCAGUUCUUGUUAUUCUUGGAGGGAGAGCAAAAGUCAGGAACAACCUAUGUCAUCAUCUUCGUGACAUCACUUCCCACCUCGUGUAUUUGAGGGAAGAAAGAAGUCUUUUGAUAAUCUUCUUAAGCACCUCAGAAAAGACCAUUUCCUGUCAGGGAAGACAGCAAGAAUGGGAGAGCAAGACAUGAAGAUGGAGAUCACAAGUAGGCAGAGAGAGAGGAGGAAGCCGACUCCCCGCUGAGCAGAGAGCCCGAUGUGGGGCUCAAUCCCAGGACUCUGAGAUCAUGACCUGAGCCGAAAGCAGAGUUUUUAACCCACUGAGCCACCCAGGUGCCCCAUGACUUAUUAUCUUUUUAAUGUAUUCUCUGGGUUUCUUUUUCUAAUAGUUUGCUCUUAUUUGUGUGUCUGUUAAUAUUAUAAUUUUGUUGUUAUAUUUUUAUAUCAGGUUUAUGCUGGACUCAUAAAAUAAGUUAUGAAUAAAUUUUCUCUCUCUAUUCCUUGAA
Mustela lutreola (European mink) is the source of this 6059-nucleotide long non-coding RNA. RefSeq lists it as uncharacterized. The record is from RefSeq and is a predicted model, not a curated record. Lineage: Eukaryota; Metazoa; Chordata; Mammalia; Carnivora; Mustelidae. The transcript is spliced from 5 exons.